GUCUUUGUGGCUCAGUGGUAGAGCAUCGGAGCGCAAAUCCGAAGGUCUGAAGUUCGAUUCUUCAUGGGGACU
Molecule: transfer RNA, 72 nt
Filed under: Pocillopora damicornis (cauliflower coral)
Lineage: Eukaryota; Metazoa; Cnidaria; Anthozoa; Scleractinia; Pocilloporidae
Description: tRNA-Cys
Rfam family: tRNA
About the family: Transfer RNA (tRNA) molecules are approximately 80 nucleotides in length. Their secondary structure includes four short double-helical elements and three loops (D, anti-codon, and T loops).
Source: Rfam by way of RNAcentral